Molecule: long non-coding RNA, 935 nt
Filed under: Heterocephalus glaber (naked mole-rat)
Lineage: Eukaryota; Metazoa; Chordata; Mammalia; Rodentia; Bathyergidae
Description: lncRNA (ENSHGLG00000043874.1)
Source: RNAcentral
GUCAGAAACUCCGUGGUGGCUGUGGCCAGUGCAAGCUCAGAAGCCCGCCUGGUCGGGAGCAGGGUCAAAGCCCGCGUGCUGGCUGCGUCUGUGGUGCAGGCCACGCAGAGCUUCCUAGAACAGGGCGAGUAGAUGGCUAAGGAAAGGCAGGGUCUCGAGGAGAAGGGCAGCCGACUCGGGCGAUGAAGACGCGGCAGGCACAGGCCCUGGGUGCCAGGUCCCCCAGGAGGAGGACUUCCGGUCCGUGGGAGCCCUGUGGUCUGCUCUCCGAGGCCCGGGCCCUGCUGCCCCACGGCGGCCAUCUUGGGCCCGGGCUUCUGUGCGACGACACCUUGUAAAUACCAGGCUCCUGCUCACCGCAGGCAGACGUGCAAAGGCGGAGCCCCACUCAUGGUCUUGCUGUGUUCCCCAGGCUGGUACAGACUCCAGGGCUCAAGCCAUUCUCCUGCCUCAGCCUCCUGAGAAUUGAAUUUAAGACCUCGAGCUUGCCAGGCAGGCGCAGCCACCACCGAGCUACAUUUGUUGCCCCAAUAAUGAUUGUUUCUACCAAAAAAAUGAAGUCCUGAAUGUAGAACUCAAGUUUGUCUAACAAUCAAGAGAAAAAUCCAUUUCCCAAUAUUGGUCGCUGUUUCCACAGAGUAAGAGUGAGCAGAAUGUCCCAAGUUCCCUUACACUUGUCAGAGUAAUGCUUUGGAAGGACUGGGACCCUUCCUGCUAAUCUCACUCCAAAACCCCAAGGACAGUGGCUCAGCCUAGUCACACCACACAUUACGUAGCACGCGGUGUGUGUCUGUCAUGCACACAACGGGAUGCGAGGAUUUGUGUUGCAUGAAAUGGCAGGCCAAUAACAAACAGCAUUUUAUUAUUUAAACAAUCUUGCAAUGUCAACAUCAAUGCUAAUAAAAAAUACAUGAUAAGGAAAUUCAUCCCUGGCA